UGACCCUUGUUUGGCCCAGCAGCCCUGCCGUCAUGACAGUGGGGUAGCAGGGCCAAACCUGUGCAAUGCUGUGACCCUUGUGUACCAGGUUGCAACGCCCAGCAUGGGAAGCCGGGCCCAUCCCCGCAGCAUGGGAACCAAGCCACUGCUGCGGGGUGAGAGCAGGGCUUGCUCACUCUAACAUCACCACUACGUUCCCCCCCCCCACCACCCCCAGCAUCCCUUCAGUGGUAAUUUUUUGGAACGGGCGGGGGCUUAGUGUCAGAAUUUACCCCUGGCCCUCCAAACACCUCUGUGUGGCCCUGAUCUAGAUGCAGGGGUGGGCACCAAAUCUUUGCAUGCUGAGUUUACCCCUCUCCCUUCCACAUCAACAAUGGCACCUCUCCUGUAGAAAUCUAGGUGCGGGUGCACUCCUCCCUGCUGGAAAACAUUGUUGGCAAAAUCAUGGUCCCUCUGAAGUCCAUGGGAGUUUUGCCGUUGACUUCCAUAAGGCCAGGAUUUCACCCUCUGUCUCCAGUGGUGGUAUGAAUGCUUCCGAAGCCUGAGGGACAUACACAACUCAUGUUCUCUGCCAAAGAGCAGGAGAUCGAACUUACUGGGAAUGCCUGAGACGAGCUUCAGAGGCCUGAGCACACGCACCGCUCUCAGGGUCCGCAGGUCCACAUGGGUGUUGAAGUGAGUUCCAGCCGUGGCGAGGAUGCUGCAGCCAGACAACGAGAAGGCAGAGUUAUUAGCCACAGAGACCUGGCAGUGUGAAUGUGCCCGUGAGAGGGAGGCAUCGUGACUAGGCCAUCACAGACAAGGCAUCCGACAGCCUGAAUUGGUGCACCUUACCCUCCGGGCACUAUCAGUCUGGAGCAGAGACAGCACUCAGAAGAUCAGAGUCUUUGCCCGGGUGGUUAGCGACACAUCUCAGGAUUAAUGCUCCGCAGGCUCAAGGUACCAGGCUCCCUGAACCUGGCAGUGCCACAGAACAGCAGGACAAGGAUGGAGAGGAGACUUAAGAAUUAAAAUGAGUGAAAUUACAAGGACCAGGAGAAAAAUCUGAGCCAGGCGCCUGCUUAAUCUGGGAGGUGGCUGCAGCGGUGGUGUUCUGGCCCAACAGUCUCAGGCCUGGCCACCUAAUCCCACAAUAUCCCAUCCAGAAUCAUGGUAACUAGAGUCCAGGCAGUCACAGCUGGCUCUCCACUUCUGCUGCAGAAGGAAUUCUAGUGUUACACUCUGGCCAACUUAACGUGCAUUUUAGAGCUGUACCAACUCCCUGCUUUAGGUUGCAGGGGUGCCGAAGAACCUUUCCUUCAGCUUCACAUGCCUCCAACUUUUGGGGUCCAAAUGAGCUUCAAAUGUCCAAGCAAAACCCAAUUUGAAACCACCAAGUCUGAUACAGUUUUACACCUAAACUAUCUGAACCUGCAUCCCAGUAGACAAAGACGCGGCCUCAGCGACACCCACCUCUCAGCUGGACUACAGCAGUGUGAUAUACCUGGGCAGGAAGCCCUCAGUGCUUAGGAAAUUCCAGUGCUACUGAACACUGCAGUGCAUCUCGUCAGCAACACAGGCCACCGUGAGCACAUCAAACCUGCCCUCUGCUCCCUACGCCAACUUCCCAUAGAACAUGAAAUAAGUUCAAGCCCUUGGGUCUUAUCUGCAGGGUUCUCAGCGGCUUUGUCCCAGGGUAUCUAAAAGACCAUCUAUUUCAUGGGGCACAUUGGAACUCUUUGCCACAAGCGUAAAGCUAGUCUGUGCAGGAACCAGAACUUCCUCAGGGGCCAGUCUGAGACUGUGACUUGAACUCACCCAGGAACAAAGGACCAUCACAAACCUCCCCACCUUGGGCUCCCAGCACAAAGUGCAUUUCUUUCCCCGGCCUUCUCUAACAGAAACACUAUUGGAAGGCACUCAGAUACUACAGGGAUGAGUGCAGUAUAAGAACCUAUAAAGAAUACUUUUGACACAAAGCCGUAAAUUAACCCCAAUUUAUUUGAAGCAUUGGAGACCUUUAGAUGAGCCUUCUCUGAGGAAACCCUGUAUUAGGGUGAUACACACUGCUCUCAAUUAGUGACUAAGAGGGGGAUUCUCUUAUGGCAAUGUGAAAUACUCACUGUCCCCACUUGGGAGUGUGGGGCCCAUGGAUCAUUUCAGAGCAGGCUUGAACAGAUUAUUUAAGCAAGACACCUGAUGUGCUGAGUAGCAGACAGCUCUGAAAUCUGCUUGCAAUCGAAAGGAUCGCCCUGGGUAUUUUUCCUUCUAGGAUCUGACUGUCAGAAAGAUGAGCUUGCAUUACACACACAAAAGCAGAGAGUCAACACCCAAUGGAGUAUGCAACUGCCCUUGCACAGACUUUGAUAUUCACAACAGGUGCCACUUAAGAAAUGAUUGGAUCUCUCAGAUAAAUUGCUGAACAGGCUCUUGAGCAUCCAUUCCAGCAUGCAAGUGUAUACUUGGCUCCAAUAUUACCAGAGAUGGGGCUCACCCAAACCCAUGGAUCCCCAUCCCAACACUGCCAAACUCUGGAGAAGUUUCUGACCCAUUUCUGAAGACCAUCUCUAAUUAGUAGUAGCGCACUCAAAUAGGAAUAUUCCUUUGCAUGUCUGUAGCCCCUUCCAUCUGAGGAUCUCACAGCACUUUACAUAAAUGAAUGAAUUAAGCCUGCAAGCAAAGCAGAGAAAGGUUCUUACCCCUAUUUUCCAGUGGAGGAAACAGAGGCAGAGAGAGACUUUGGUUGAGAUGGUGAAGAAUUGACCCCCACCCAGUCUAAAAUCAGAGAAGACACAGAGAUCCAUGUGGUUGUUACCACCAGAGGAGGUGGUAUUUAGACAUUUCUUAAAGGAGUGAGGGAUGGGGUGUGGCAACCAUUAACCAGGGAGCUGUUCCAAGCACGAAGGAGGCACUGAGUCCAAAGUGGGUCCAAGGCACCUCUCAAUCUGCCACACCCCACCUUUGAGUGGCAAAGACUCAAAUGAGGGUCAGAAACAAAAAUCAUUCAGAGUACUUCAAAUGCUGCAGGAUU
Molecule: long non-coding RNA, 3010 nt
Organism: Mauremys mutica (yellowpond turtle)
Lineage: Eukaryota; Metazoa; Chordata; Testudines; Geoemydidae
Exons: 4
Source: RefSeq, a predicted model, not a curated record